UCACUGUGAUUAAUUGGAACAUGGAGAACCACCCAGGAAAACAGUGCUACCACAAGACUAAAUGGCUCUGGUCUUGGCUGAAUAAUUAGAAACUCUAGUUUGGGGUAACCUUACCGAAAGGGCAAGAGGGGAGGCGUUGAUGGGAUAUAGCACUCGCUCUCUUGGGAAGUGGGCUUGGCUAAGACACUAUACCCUCUAGGGGACUGCUAUGUUUCGCUUCGACCUGAAACCUUAGCGGGUUACCACAUUGCUAGCGAAUCUUUGUAAAGGCCUCGUAGCGUCCCUAUGCAAUCACACCUCGGAAGUGUGGUAUUGUGCCUGAUCAGCACAAGCGUGGUUGGGUCUAAAGUUCUUUUGAGCUUUUACGCGACUUGUGGGUAAAGAUGUGCGACCUCUGCAGAGUGUAAAACUGAUCGAUCAGCCGUGCUCACGGUUAAGAGCGGCCUGGACCCUCACAUGAGUAAUAUACUUGAAGAUGGAUUUAAAUUGUGGUUUAUGCUAUGGUUAUAUUUCUGCCAUGUGCUUAUGGCUUAUGUUUAUGUUUCUAUUAAUUGUGGGUUGGUAUAUACUUAUACCUUAGUAAUCAGGUGCUAAUAAAAUUUGACCAACUAAAAAUGCUUAAUGCAAUCAACCAGUCAGCCUUUCCUUGUUUAACCCUUGCAUUCAUAUUCUCCUCACACUUGCUGAGUACGACAAGUGCUCACCCUUGCUAUAAACAAUAUUGCUCAGAAGAAGAAGCUGCUAUGAAGUUGUUCCGAAGAUGAUGCUGAGUUCUAGGCGUACGCAACCCCCAGUUGUUUGCCUGUGAAGUUUGGAGCCUCCAUUUCCAUAAUUAAGCUGUAUAUCUCUGAUGGUUUCGUAAGUCUUUGUAUCUUUUUACGUGAUACUGUUGCUGUUAUUCACUAAUGAUGUCACUAUAUGUAUGAAACUUGAUCCUGGCAUACAUAUAGGUAGCACUUGGUUUUGUCCUUAAAACCGGGUGUGACAGAAGUGGUAUCAGAGCCGUAUCAAUUGUAGGACGUAAGCCUAGAUAGCAAUGGUCACUUUCUAAGGUCUGCUUUACUAUAUAAACAAUUCCUGCCUUAUCCUUGACCUUUCUGGAAAAUAUUCUCACUUCUUGAUAAGUUUUAUUCAAUCCUCCUUGAUAACUUGAGCUCUUUUCAUUUGCACUUCUUGUCUUGCAAAUGUUAGACCCUCAAUCCUUGUCUAUUUAUUUCCUCUCUCCUUGAUCACUGCUUGAUCUUGAUCAUGCAUCUCCUUCUUGAUGAAUGAUCUUACCUGUUUGAUGCAAUACACCUCCUUGAUUUCUUAGUGAUAUUGCUACUCUCUCAUCCCCUGUUCAUUUAUCUCCUUAAUAUUUUCCUUACAUACUUAUCCUUGUAAACCUAUCUCUUCCUUAACUUUAUUUUCAGUAUAUCCAUCUUCCCCAUUGUACCUCUCGUUGCUUGUGAAAUAAAUGCUACCUUGGAAUCUUUUCCUUGACUUUUGAUUCCAAAAUGUCUCGUUUUAUUCAAAAAUAUCUAGAUGAUCCAUGCCACCUGUCUUAAAGCCUGUUCAAGACAUCUGAAGAAUGGAGUUACCAGUUCACCACUAGAAGUCAAGCCUGAGCAAUUGAAACGUGCACCAAACAUCUGGAGUCAAUGCUGGGCAAGCUGAAGGAUGCCUACAUCAAGCACGUUGAAGCCUUACCAAACAACCCCUGCUUAGGAGUACCCCUUGUAGCCUUAUUAACAACGUUUAGCAUCGUUUCUUGACUCUGUGUUGACUGGUGGAAUUCUGUGUUUGCAUGAUGAUGCUUGUCCUUAUGAAAUUGUCUGAUUUGUUUCUUUGUAAUGAUUGUUGGUGUAUUGUGGGUCUUCUAUCUACAAUGACAUCAGUUGCCUAGCUGGGUUUUUCUUUUGAAUCUCCCAUAUCCUUGUCAUCCAUUCCUUUCUACCCGAGCCAAUGAAGGACAUCAGAAAAGAGAGAACUAAAGUCAACACCAUAGUCAACAAGUAGGAGUUAACAUCACCACCACCGUCUCGCUAGAAGCAAGUUGAAGAAUAGAAGGCUCUACUCUAAUCUCCAUCUUACUCUAAUGAUGAUUACAAGAACCAAAGAAGAUGAAGAAAGCAGGGAGAUUCUACUCUCGAUAAGCAAAGAUGGAAGACUAUCCACUCUACCAUAAGGAACUUGUUGUCUCCCACCUCUUUGUUUUCUUUUCUCUCUUCGAAUCUACUUGUACCUCCCACAUCCUUGUUAUUUUUCUUUCUAUCUCCCAAUUCUGAUGGACAUCAAGAAGAGAGUGAAGGCAACACCAAUGCCAACAAGCGGAGGCUAUCGCCACCAUCACCGUCGAAAUAGAAGCAAGCCGAAGAAAAGAAGGCCCCAGCCUAGAUUUCUUGCCACCUCGCUACUUUCUAUCCUUCCUUCUACCUUACUCGGAUGACGACCCAAGAAAAGAUGAAGAUAUCAUGAACUGCUCUACCUUGUUCUACAAUUCUAUCCAUUUCCUAUUUUCUUCUGAUCCUAUCGUUAUCACCGAAUCAACUGGCGAGUCCCAAUGAAAAUCAUGAAGAUAGGGCCAAUGAAGGAGAUCUUAACAUUCCACCUGUAGCCGCAUCAUUCGAACGCAAGAUGUUAGAGUAUAUGGCAACACAAACCCAUGUUUUACAAGCAAUGUCUCAAACCAUGGUCAAUAUCCAUCAGUAUAUCACAGAGCAAGCCUCACUUCCUGAGAACCACAACCCUAUCACUAGUGAUGACCAUCAGGUUCCGUCUGUUCCACCACCGUUCGACAACGAGAAGCUAUUAACCAUGCAGGCUCAAGUCUUACAAGGAAGGAUACAGACUGACACAUCAACCCCUCAUAACAUGGAAAUGACCAAAGUUAGAAUUUCUACUGGACCACUGAAGAGGCAAGUUGCUGAAGCAUGGAACCGUCAAAGGAACAAGCCAAGCCGUAUAGCGCCAGAGCUAGAAAUGGAGAGGCAACAUGAGGAUUUUAAGAUUCUGGGAACACGCCAGUGUUGUGAACACCAUGGUCUUCCAUGUCUCCAGGAAGAAGAUAGCUUAAUGACAGUUGAAGCUAGACAACAUUAUUAUUUGGACAUCAAUAAGAAGAGGAAGUUGUAUGCCCAAGGGCUAGACCAAGAGGAAGUCACUCAAGAUGAAGAUAGUACUCACACUAUGAACCUUGAGGGUUGGAGUAUCUCUUUCAAAGAAUUUCAGCCCUGGAGGAGUAGGCGAGCCAACAAACCAACUAGUAAAGCAAGUCAAGAGAAGAUGGAGUUACCACAAUCAUUGGCAGAUAACCGUACUCGGCCUAGUUCCCACCAACCACAGCCUAAAGUUGAUCACUAUCCACAUGGCAACCCCAUCAAGAAGAAUCCUGAUGCACAAGCUAUUCCACCGAUAGCUACCAUGGAGCAGAAAGGAAGACGAGAAGGAUGUAAUAAAAGACUGUGCUGCAGAUGCGGUAAGGAAGGCCAUUAUACCAAUAACUAUCCAAUAAAGUGUAAGUGGACCAGGUCCGCUGGAGCCAAAAUAUAUUGCCUCAAGUGUGGAGAAAAUGAACAUCUUGUUAGUUGGUGUGCAAAAGAGAAAGAUGAUCAACCCCAGGGCCAAGGAUCCAAUAGCCCUGCAUUCAAACCGACAACAUCAGUUGGCCUCUUUGUCAGGACAAAUAAUUAGGAUGCCUCAGUCAAGAAAGAAGGCCACCAAUUUCCAAUGCCCAAUUCCCAUACCACAUCUAGUUGCCAAAGUACCAAAGCAAGAAUAACAUGUUUCUACCGCAAAUAAGAGAGACAUUUCAUCAGACAAUGUUCCAAGAAGCGUUUGGACUAGAUGGAGAAGAAGACUAAAGGAUGUGUAUGAAGACUUGAAGGAUGACAGUCGAGCCAGAGGGAAGCAAUUCAGCUCUAUUCAAAUCACUUUACCAAGAAAUGAAGAAAAUUCUUCAAAGAUGGGCAAAAGAAGCAGAGGGAAGGAAAGGAUACUUAAAAGAGGAAUUAGACUAAGUAUCCCUGAAGUGUUUUAUGUGAUGUAGUGAAGCAUAAAGGGCAUGAUUGAGAAGCUUACGUAAGGAUGAACGAUCUAGGAAGAAGCUAAUAAGUGUUGGAUCCUACCCACCUAAACCUUUGUCUCUUGCUAGCCUUUGCGAAUCUCGGGACGAGAUUCUUGUUAAGGGGGGUAGUGUUGUCACACCCUGAAAUUUCCGAAUUUCAGGAUGUGAAUAAAAGGAAUAAAUAAACAAUGAUUUUCUCAUAAUUUUAAAAUUUUCCCAACAAUUAUUUUCUUUACAGGAAAUUUAGUAUAGGAAAAAUAAUUGUUUGCUUUUAUAAAUUAAAUAAUGUUGUUCUAUGUCUGUGCAUUCAUGCCGUUGCAUCUUGGUGUUUCUUGAGUGCAAAAGUUUGAAAAAUACGUUUAGACGUUGCCCAGACCCUUGUGAGGAUUUUCCAUCUUUUUCUGGAAUUUAUUCUCCUUUUUCUAGAGCUAAAUCUAAUUUUUAGAAGGCUCUAGAAUCCUUUUCACGAGCUCCAAGUAUUUUAUUUGGAUUCUUUGUGUCCCAAUCCAUCUCUGAGAUUUAUCUCAGAUUUUUCGGAAUUUUCUAGGUAUUUUUCUCGCUUUAGAAAACGAGUCCAGCUAUUUCUGGAAUUGUUUUCGCGCAGAUAAAUAAAAUCAGAAAUUCCGAAAAUAAAAAGUCAACUCGAAAAUAUCUUUUUCCGAGUGUGGCGUAUAUAUAUAUCACCGCGUUUGUCUCGACGCGAGGAUUUCAGAUCUGAAAACCUUUUUACGAGUUGCAUCUCCUAACUCCGUAGAUCUGAAGUCAAAGUUCGGUCUUCGUCAAACUCCGGGGAGCUUUUCCGGUGAAACCGUGGACUUCCGGCGAAAACCGACACCACCAUGGAGUUCCUCUCUUCGAGCUCUACGCCGUGGUGUGGUGGAUUGCAUGAAUCCGAUGUCGGCUCCGUCGUCUUCCCCAACUCCGGCGAGCUUUUCCGCCGCCAUUGUUCAUCUCUUGCCGAAGGUGAGCACACCAUCUUGUUCGCCUCGUCGAUAUCGUUCCAUUUUGCCGUUCAUGCACGAGAUCGGGCUUCGUUUCCGGCGAUCCCCUCUUUCUUUUUCUUUUUUUUCUUAUUUCUGCAACCUUACCAGACCGAGCUUCUGGUCGUACUGCCCGCCGCCUGCACGCUGCGCCGCCGCCUGUGCGCCGCCGGAGCCGCCGGCCGAGCCACCCUGCUAGCGCAUCCACCCGCUGCUCGCGCAAGCCGCCCCGGCCCCGGCCGUCGCCGCCGGCAGGACCGGCCUAGGCCACGGUCGAUGGCCAACGUGUUACCAGAGUUGGAAGGUUGAAGAUGAGAUGGUGAUUUUGCUAUUAGGCCCCUGAGGAAAACUCAAAUUUUCAGCUUAUUUCUUGUGUCUUGGCAACUUCACAGAAAACCCCUCGAUCUUUCCGGUCCCAUUCAAUUUAAACCGAGCCUCACAAUCUUUUGGAUCUAACCCUGUUAUUUCUAUUAUUUGCGAGCACUAUUCCUGGUGUCUUUCAAAUUUUCCUUGCUAACCCCUGAGGUCUACGGUUAAUUACGUUUAGACCCCUACAACCUUGUUUAACCCAUAGAUUCUACGUUUUAAUUCCGUUUUUGUCCGUUCAAGUUGCGUUAGAUUCAUAAUGAUGUAAAUUACACGUUAGUGGUAAUGUUUUCCUUCACACAUGUUUUUGAAAAUAAAAUUUAUAUUAAAAAUUGAUUAAUGCCUGUCAAACGAGUUCUUCUCUAAAUAAAAUCUAUUUAGUGUUAAACAUCGUUUUUCAUAAUAAUUGUUAAUUUGAUUAAUGCCUACUUCAUACCCUCUUCUAAAUAAAAGCCAAUUAGGUUAUAUAUCGGUUUUUCAUAAACUAAAGUUAAUUGGAUUAAUGCCUAUCUAAAUAAUUCUUCCAAUUAAAAGCCACUUAGAGUUAUAUCUCGGCGUUUCAUAAAUUAAAUUCAAUUUGAUUAAUGUUUAUUCAAUUUGUUUUCUAAAUAAAAUCUGUAUAGGUUAUAUCUCGAGUUUUCAUAAUUAAAUAUUAAUUUGGCUAAUAUAAAUAUAAAUGUGUUUUUAAUUUAAUCUACUUAGUUGAACUCGAGAUGUAAAGCUAUACGCUUAGAUGUCUACAUGUAUCUUAUUUUUUUAAAUUAAAUGUUUAAUUUGCAUAAAUUGUACUAAAAUAUUUAUAAAUAAAAUUGGACUAAGCUUUACACCGUCUUUUCUUAUCAAAAUAUAAAUAUGACUUGAUUAAUUCUAACUAAGGAUAUUCCUCUGAAAUAUCUUAACAUUGCUUUUCUCAACUAAAAUAAAUGAAGCUUGUAGCUCUUAUCUUCCUUUGCUAACUCAAAACUCUCGAUAGCUUUAUCUUUUCAACCAUAGUUCCGUUGUAAGCGUUCCUGCGUCCGCGUAAUCCUAGAACCGAGCCAUGUUCUUUUAUUACGCUCUUUUAAAGCCUGUCUUUUGUUUUGGUGUACUGCUCUUAGUUGUAUUUGUUUGUUUGCUUGUAUGUUUGUACCGGUGUUUGCUUCGAGUAGAAGGAUCGCCGUUCGGAAGCUCUGAAGAGUACGAGUUUCAAGUGAGCAAGAGCCGAAGAGCAGUAAGAAGUAACUUGUCGCUGGAGAAAGGCAAGUGUGUCCUUGUGCUUUUGUCCCAAUAACUUUGUUUAAUCACUAUUGCAUACGCUUGCACUAAAUUUGAUGGGUCCUAUUAAGGUUUGCCUAGUUUUUAUGAUUAUUCCUUGCCAACCUGGGUUUACCUUUCUGUUGGGUAGCUAUGCUUAGCUGCUAUACUUGGGUUACGGUGGUUCUAAUGAACAAAGAUGAUGAACUUAUUUUAUUUAUGCUACACCUUCCUUUAAUACAAGAUCACUGUGAUUAAUUGGAACAUGGAGAACCACCCAGGAAAACAGUGCUACCACAAGACUAAAUGGCUCUGGUCUUGGCUGAAUAAUUAGAAACUCUAGUUUGGGGUAACCUUACCGAAAGGGCAAGAGGGGAGGCGUUGAUGGGAUAUAGCACUCGCUCUCUUGGGAAGUGGGCUUGGCUAAGACACUAUACCCUCUAGGGGACUGCUAUGUUUCGCUUCGACCUGAAACCUUAGCGGGUUACCACAUUGCUAGCGAAUCUUUGUAAAGGCCUCGUAGCGUCCCUAUGCAAUCACACCUCGGAAGUGUGGUAUUGUGCCUGAUCAGCACAAGCGUGGUUGGGUCUAAAGUUCUUUUGAGCUUUUACGCGACUUGUGGGUAAAGAUGUGCGACCUCUGCAGAGUGUAAAACUGAUCGAUCAGCCGUGCUCACGGUUAAGAGCGGCCUGGACCCUCACAUGAGUAAUAUACUUGAAGAUGGAUUUAAAUUGUGGUUUAUGCUAUGGUU
This 7375-nucleotide long non-coding RNA is filed under the name Setaria viridis. RNAcentral describes it as "long non-coding RNA (SVIR_LNC005016)". The record is from RNAcentral. Lineage: Eukaryota; Viridiplantae; Streptophyta; Magnoliopsida; Poales; Poaceae.